GACGAACGCUGGCGGCGUGCUUAACACAUGCAAGUCGAACGGAAAGGCCCUGCUUUUGUGGGGUGCUCGAGUGGCGAACGGGUGAGUAACACGUGAGUAACCUGCCCUUGACUUUGGGAUAACUUCAGGAAACUGGGGCUAAUACCGGAUAGGAGCUCCUGCUGCAUGGUGGGGGUUGGAAAGUUUCGGCGGUUGGGGAUGGACUCGCGGCUUAUCAGCUUGUUGGUGGGGUAGUGGCUUACCAAGGCUUUGACGGGUAGCCGGCCUGAGAGGGUGACCGGCCACAUUGGGACUGAGAUACGGCCCAGACUCCUACGGGAGGCAGCAGUGGGGAAUAUUGCACAAUGGGCGGAAGCCUGAUGCAGCAACGCCGCGUGCGGGAUGACGGCCUUCGGGUUGUAAACCGCUUUCGCCUGUGACGAAGCGUGAGUGACGGUAAUGGGUAAAGAAGCACCGGCUAACUACGUGCCAGCAGCCGCGGUGAUACGUAGGGUGCGAGCGUUGUCCGGAUUUAUUGGGCGUAAAGGGCUCGUAGGUGGUUGAUCGCGUCGGAAGUGUAAUCUUGGGGCUUAACCCUGAGCGUGCUUUCGAUACGGGUUGACUUGAGGAAGGUAGGGGAGAAUGGAAUUCCUGGUGGAGCGGUGGAAUGCGCAGAUAUCAGGAGGAACACCAGUGGCGAAGGCGGUUCUCUGGGCCUUUCCUGACGCUGAGGAGCGAAAGCGUGGGGAGCGAACAGGCUAGAUACCCUGGUAGUCCACGCUGUAAACGGUGGGUACUAGGUGUGGGGUCCAUUCCACGGGUUCCGUGCCGUAGCUAACGCUUUAAGUACCCCGCCUGGGGAGUACGGCCGCAAGGCUAAAACUCAAAGGAAUUGACGGGGCCCCGCACAAGCGGCGGAGCAUGCGGAUUAAUUCGAUGCAACGCGUAGAACCUUACCUGGGUUUGACAUGGAUCGGGAGUGCUCAGAGAUGGGUGUGCCUCUUUUGGGGUCGGUUCACAGGUGGUGCAUGCCUGUCGUCAGCUCGUGUCGUGAGAUGUUGGGUUAAGUCCCGCAACGAGCGCAACCCUUGUUCACUGUUGCCAGCACGUUAUGGUGGGGACUCAGUGGAGACCGCCGGGGUCAACUCGGAGGAAGGUGGGGAUGACGUCAAGUCCUCAUGCCCCUUAUGUCCAGGGCUUCACGCAUGCUACAAUGGCUGGUACAGAGAGUGGCGAGCCUGUGAGGGUGAGCGAAUCUCGGAAAGCCGGUCUCAGUUCGGAUUGGGGUCUGCAACUCGACCUCAUGAAGUCGGAGUCGCUAGUAAUCGCAGAUCAGCAACGCUGCGGUGAAUACGUUCCCGGG
This 1342-nucleotide ribosomal RNA is filed under the name uncultured bacterium. Its description in RNAcentral is "16S ribosomal RNA". It matches the Rfam family "Bacterial small subunit ribosomal RNA", at positions 28 to 1378 of the family's 1533-position model. The record is from RNAcentral.